Molecule: long non-coding RNA, 1637 nt
Filed under: Nicotiana tabacum (common tobacco)
Lineage: Eukaryota; Viridiplantae; Streptophyta; Magnoliopsida; Solanales; Solanaceae
Description: long non-coding RNA (NTAB_LNC006712)
Source: RNAcentral
UUGAAGAGAACCAAAAGCCGUGAAAUUAUCCUUGUUUCAUGAAGGAGAAAAACGUGCAAAAACUUGGCACUGGAGAACUAUAAUGCCAGGAACGGUGUCAACACUCGAAAACAUCUGCGAAUUCGAAUAACUUUCGAUUUCUUCGGGUAUAAUUUAAACUACUUAUUUGAGCCUUCAUGACAGAUUCUUAAGUUUUCUUGUUUGGUUUAAUAACUACAUAUCAGUCUAUCUAUAUACCAUAAAGAGGGACAAAUGCACAGGUUUUUAAUUUGGUGUAAAAUAUAAUGAGUAAAUUUUAUAAAUAGGUAGAAUUAACAGAUUAUUGACUGGUUGAAUUACCCAUCGAAUGGGUAAAUAUGAUUAGAUGAAGUUAGACUCAAACACGAACUCCUAGGAUUAAGUAUUCUAAAUUAGUUAUGAUUAGCCUAAAAAAUUUACAUGGGAUCGAUAUUAUGUAAUUAUAGAUUGAUUGGAGGAAGUUAUACGAAUUGCUUGAGGUGAAGCAUUUGGUAUUUUGGCACGAGUACUGUGAGUAGUAAUCUUACCACAAUUUGUAUUUUUCAUAACUUGCAUGAUUUACACAUGAUUUUUAAUAUGAAUAUGUUACCGAUUAUUUUGAGUUGCAUGUGGGACAAGUCUUUUACUCGAUAUGAUAUCGUUGUUUUAAAUAUUCUUGUUGUCACUAGAUAUGUUUUACCGUUACUUGAAUUUACUUUUAUCGAAAGGAAAUUACAUGAUUUGAUAAGAACCAAAAUACCCUAUAUUAUUUUAAAAUAUUUUUCUAUGAGUAUAUACGGAUUACAGAGAUAAGUAUAAAUGGGAGUAGGCUUUGAAGGAUUCCGUAGCUAAUGGCGGGUUCGUUAGCCCUGGUACACCUUGUAAUUACCGAUUACCGUCAUAACCCUCACUAGUGGGAAGGUAGAACUAGCAUACAGUUACCGAUUUUCCUCGAGUAGGGAGUACAUUUAUAUUUGACUUCUUGUAAAGAAGUCCACAGUUAUACCGAUUACAUGAUCCAUUCAUUGAAACCUCCCAAGUAUGAAUAUUGAUAUUUCACAGAAUUUACCGAGCUUAUUACCGAAUUGUCAAAUUGAAAUAUAUUACAUGAAAAACAUGAUGAGACUGAUUAUUGUUUAUUGUUUCUGAAAGGGCAUUCUUAUGAUAAUUUCUGUUUAAUAUAUAGACUAGCAUGUUUUCUGAAUCUUCCCCAACAAAAACGGUUGUGAUUAAGUGUUAUUACUCAUAGAGCUAGCGACUCAUUCUCCGCUAUUUUUUUCCAGAAACAACAGUUGACGCAGGCGAGGAUUUUAUUAAUUAGAGCGCACAUGUUGAUAUUUCUUGGUGAGCCUCGCACUUGUUCGCGUGGGCGGAGAUUUUAUUUUUUAUUUUGGUCCUUUUUUGGAACUCUUAGAGUCACUCCAUAGUCAUUCUUUUAGUGUCAUGAAUAUUCUUUUGUUAUUAUAGACUUAUGUUGAGUAUUGCUCUUUAUUAUCAAAGUUGGAGAUAAAUUAGUAUUCUUAGCUGUUAGUGGGUGAACUAUUAAUGGUGGAUAUUUGUUUUGGUUAAUUGGUAAAGUUAUUAUUGUUUGGAUUGAUAUUAGGAUGUUUGAUUGUUGAUUUGAGACAGAGAAAUUUUUG